AGAGCGGGCCGUGCGGUGAGCCAAUGAGAGUGGGCCGGGCCGUGCCACCUGAGCCAAUGAGCGCCAGCAGGCACCUCCUACUGCACGAGCUCUCGGGCAAUGAAAAUCCCGCGUCCACCUGGUCGCGCGCGUUCUGGGAAGAGGUUCGUUGCCCUGUGGUUUCUCCUUCUGCGUCUGUUUUGUUUCUGAGCCACGGUGGCCGGCUUUGGAAGUAGUGGGGCCGGACCUGUUUCAAAGGAGCCAAGGGAAGUAUCCUGUUGGAUUUCAACGGACACUAAAGGGGCCUUGAAGGAGACAGUCCAGGAAAGGCAGAUCGACAGGGAAGUUGAGGCUUUGACCGCGGCUGCAGUCAUCUGAUGCAGUGGCUUUGUCCCCCCAGGGGACAUUUGUGACCGUCACCAAAGGCAGUGCACGUACAGUUAAAUGUUUUUCUCACAGAAUUGCAUCGCGCUGUACCACACAGAUUUUCGGAAACCUAAGACGCGGUAUUGAACUAAUUCUACAUCUAAUUCCAAUUGUAAUAAAGUUAAUACAUGCAGACGGUCUGAUGAGCAAGUGUAAUGGUUGAAACGUUUGACACGGACGGAGGCCGCCGAGAGGGGUACGUGGGGGGCCGGAAGGGCUCCGUGAUGACCGGGUGUCGGGGAGACUUUCCGAAGCCACGUGGGUCUGGCUGCCGUGGCCCCACGCCAGUAACUGCGUACCGGGCACCGAUCUAAGUCCUUCGCACCUACUAACUCGCGAAAACUGGAGAGGAAGAACACCCACCAGUCCUUGGAAGAGCUCCAUGAACAGGUGCCUUGAACCCCACUUUACAGAUGAAGAAGAAGGGGGACACGGGGGUUGGCAUGCUGUCCGGGGCUCCCGGCUGGACCAGCCAGGUCCAGGCAGUGUGGCGGGGACCACAGUCUCACCCCCGGGGGUCACCGGGUCGGGCCCCCCACCCUUCAGGCCACGAGGAGGUCAGAAGAGGGCAAACCCGGAGCUCGCUCCAUUCAGAGGCAUGACCUCUUGCCGGAGUCGGACGCUCAACCGACUGAGCCACACAGGCACCCCCAAAAGCAUCUACUUAAAAUGAGCAACUCAGUGACUCUGAUACCACAACCAAGAUACAGAGCAUUUCCACCCCCCAACCCCCAGAAGAUUGCUCGGAGGUGCGAUAAUCCUUCCUUUGUACAAAAGACUGAACCCAACUUUCAUCGGCUGCCGGGGUAGGUGACGGGGGUUGUCGCUUGGUCCGCCCGUCCAGCACGGUCUGUAGGGUUCGGGCAAUGAAAGGCACGUCCGGAACUUAGCCCCGUCGUGUACGUGACUGUGCGGACUUUGGCAAGUGACUCAGCUGUGCCUCAGUUUCCCACCUGGAGACCGUGGACAGUAAUGUCUACGUCACAGGGUUGGAGCGAGGGUGGAAUGAAAUGGUGUGCAAUGGGGUGUUAAGAUUGAAGUUAGGAGGGAGACCUCAAAACACAGCACGUGUGCAGGGGAAACAGUCUGAGAAGAGUCCCAGGCCUCUGAGAACCUCCCGCCAGGUCAGGGGUCAGUGCCUGGGGAGAAGCCGAAACUGUGUUUGAAUCUCAGGGUCAUCGUGGGGUGUGAAAGGCCAUUUGUCUUUUAUGGAAGGAAAGAGACCCAGACUUUUCUUCCGGGGGCAGGAGAAAGGUUCCCUUGCUGAACUAUUUAAUUUUUUAUGUUAUCUUAUUCUA
Long non-coding RNA from Panthera uncia (snow leopard), 1703 nucleotides. RefSeq lists it as uncharacterized. The transcript is spliced from 3 exons. The record is from RefSeq and is a predicted model, not a curated record. NCBI's taxonomy places the organism in Eukaryota, Metazoa, Chordata, Mammalia, Carnivora, Felidae.